RNAcentral lists this ribosomal RNA (460 nucleotides) under uncultured bacterium. RNAcentral's name for it is "partial 16S ribosomal RNA". It matches the Rfam family "Bacterial small subunit ribosomal RNA", at positions 338 to 795 of the family's 1533-position model. The record is from RNAcentral.
CCUACGGGUGACAGCAGUGAGGAAUAUUGGUCAAUGGACGAGAGUCUGAACCAGCCAAGUAGCGUGAAGGAUGACUGCCCUAUGGGUUGUAAACUUCUUUUAUAUGGGAAUAAAAUGUUCCACGUGUGGGAUUUUGUAUGUACCAUAUGAAUAAGGAUCGGCUAACUCCGUGCCAGCAGCCGCGGUAAUACGGAGGAUCCGAGCGUUAUCCGGAUUUAUUGGGUUUAAAGGGAGCGUAGGUGGGUUGUUAAGUCAGUUGUGAAAGUUUGCGGCUCAACCGUAAAAGUGCAGUUGAAACUGGCAGUCUUGAGUACGGUAGAGGUGGGCGGAAUGCGUGGUGUAGCGGUGAGAUGCUUAGAUAUCACGAAGAACUCCGAUUGCGAAGGCAGCUCACUGGACUGCAACUGACACUGAGGCUCGAAAGUGUGGGUAUCGAACAGGAUUAGAUACCCCUGUAGUC